This 551-nucleotide ribosomal RNA is filed under the name uncultured bacterium. Its description in RNAcentral is "bacterial SSU rRNA". It matches the Rfam family "Bacterial small subunit ribosomal RNA", at positions 354 to 896 of the family's 1533-position model. The record is from RNAcentral.
UGGGGGAAUAUUGGACAAUGGGCGCAAGCCUGAUCCAGCCAUACCGCGUGGGUGAAGAAGGUUUUCGGAUCGUAAAACUCUGUUGUAAGGGAAGAACAAGUACAGUAGUAACUGGCUGUACCUUGACGGUACCUUAUUAGAAAGCCACGGCUAACUACGUGCCAGCAGCCGCGGUAAUACGUAGGUGGCAAGCGUUGUCCGGAAUUAUUGGGCGUAAAGCGCGCGCAGGCGGUUCUUUAAGUCUGAUGUGAAAGCCCCCGGCUCAACCGGGGAGGGUCAUUGGAAACUGGGGAACUUGAGUGCAGAAGAGGAAAGUGGAAUUCCAAGUGUAGCGGUGAAAUGCGUAGAGAUUUGGAGGAACACCAGUGGCGAAGGCGACUUUCUGGUCUGUAACUGACGCUGAGGCGCGAAAGCGUGGGGAGCAAACAGGAUUAGAUACCCUGGUAGUCCACGCCGUAAACGAUGAGUGCUAAGUGUUAGGGGGUUUCCGCCCCUUAGUGCUGCAGCUAACGCAUUAAGCACUCCGCCUGGGGAGUACGGUCGCAAGACUG